CGGGAAGAUCCGGAAAUCAGGAGGAGGAAGCUGGAAAGCAAUCUUCACCAUGGGAAAGGUGUCUGCACUAGCACGGAGAAAAUCACAGCCUGAGGUGUUUAACAGCAGAGAGGCAGAUACAGGCAGCCGUGGGGAGACAGUCACAUUACGAUCUGCGAAGAGCGACGAGUCACUCACCUUGCAGCACAGUGGGGCAGGCGUCCCGAGAGUCCGCAGCCUCGGUCGGCGUGGGCGCAGCAGCGACGCCGUCUCCGUUUCGGCGCCGGGGGAACCACAGG
Molecule: long non-coding RNA, 278 nt
Organism: Carcharodon carcharias (great white shark)
Lineage: Eukaryota; Metazoa; Chordata; Chondrichthyes; Lamniformes; Lamnidae
Exons: 3
Source: RefSeq, a predicted model, not a curated record